CUGGGCGUAAAGGACGCGUAGGCGGUCUGAUAAGUUAGAUGUGAAAUCCUAUGGCUUAACCAUAGAACUGCAUCUAAAACUGUCAGACUAGAAUGAGGGAGAGGUCAGUGGAAUUAGUGGUGUAGGGGUAAAAUCCGUAGAGAUCACUAGGAAUACUCAUAGCGAAGGCGACUGACUGGAACUUUAUUGACGCUAAGGCGUGAAAGCGUGGGGAGCAAACAGGAUUAGAUACCCUGGUAGUCCACGCCCUAAACGAUGUACACUAGUUAUUGUGAUGCAAGUCAUUGCAGUAAUGCAGCUAACGCAUUAAGUGUACCGCCUGGGGAGUACGGUCGCAAGAUUAAAACUCAAAGGAAUAGACGGGGACCCGCACAAGCGGUGGAGCAUGUGGUUUAAUUCGAAGAUACGCGAAGAACCUUACCUGGACUUGACAUCCUAUAAAGGAUUUAGAGAUAGACUUGUGCUAGUUUACUAGAAUAUAGUGACAGGUGCUGCACGGCUGUCGUCAGCUCGUGUCGUGAGAUGUUGGGUUAAGUCCCGCAACGAGCGCAACCCUCGUCGUUAGUUGCUAACAGUUCGGCUGAGCACUCUAACGAGACUGCCUGGGUAACCAGGAGGAAGGUGAGGACGACGUCAAGUCAUCAUGGCCCUUAUGUCCAGGGCUACACACGUGCUACAAUGGUUGGGACAAUGAGACGCGAUACCGCGAGGUGGAGCAAAUCUAUAAACCCAAUCUCAGUUCGGAUAGCACUCUGCAACUCGAGUGCUUGAAGCUGGAAUCGCUAGUAAUCGUAGAUCAGCAAUGCUACGGUGAAUACGUUCCCGGGUCUUGUACUCACCGCCCGUCACACCAUGGGAGUUGGUUUCACCCGAAGCCGGAAUGCCAAAUUGGCUACCGUCCACGGUGGGCCCAGCAACUAGGGUGAAGUCGUAACAAGGUA
This 941-nucleotide ribosomal RNA is filed under the name uncultured Campylobacterota bacterium. Its description in RNAcentral is "bacterial SSU rRNA". It matches the Rfam family "Bacterial small subunit ribosomal RNA", at positions 554 to 1498 of the family's 1533-position model. Lineage: Bacteria; Pseudomonadati; Campylobacterota. The record is from RNAcentral.